RNAcentral lists this long non-coding RNA (633 nucleotides) under Pongo abelii (Sumatran orangutan). RNAcentral's name for it is "lincRNA". Lineage: Eukaryota; Metazoa; Chordata; Mammalia; Primates; Hominidae. The record is from RNAcentral.
UGGAAAUGAACAGUGUCCUGUAACCCUCAGGUGAGACUAGAGUCAGAAUGCAGGCUUUUCUCAUUUGAAAUCUCAAGGUAAGUCCAGGUCCUUACCUCCACCUAAAAGUUCUGCCACCAAGGGACAUCUGCUCAUUAUCUUCUGUCCACACAUCAAAUGACUUCAAUGUGACCCCUGGAUGUUCUCCAAAGAGCUGAAAGGAAAUAAAUAUUCUUUCUUUAUCACCAAAUACUUCAACUGCAGAGUGGUUGUGCUACCAAGGCCUGAAACUUUGGAAAAACCUGCAUAACACAAAAUAUAUAUGCCACAGAGAGGAUCCAGAGAGCCCAUCUUCAGUCAGUUAUCUGUAUUUGCAUGUCAACUACAGCAUCAAGAAGCAUAGGCAUGGAUACUAAGGACCCCCUCUGUACACCAAAGCCAGUCCAAAGGACAGUGUGUCACUGUGAACUGUAAAUUCAUCUCUCUUCUUCAUCUUUUUUCUACCUACUUUAUGCUUUAUCUCUAAGUUGAGGCUGUUUAUGGCCUCAUCCUCAAUUACCUUGUCCCUCGUUACUCCCAGUUAAUGGAGAUUAAGCUUUGUAUCAUGACUUCCUAACUAAAACUGAAAUCACAAGACAUCACAUAAAUAAAGUG